This is a non-coding RNA of Candidatus Levybacteria bacterium RBG_13_35_9, 87 nucleotides long. The record is from Rfam. Lineage: Bacteria; Candidatus Levyibacteriota.
GGAGGGGUCGCAUAGUGGCCUAGUGCGCUUGCUUGGAAAGCAGGUAUAUCCGCAAGGAUAUCGCGGGUUCAAAUCCCGCCUCCUCCG